RNAcentral lists this ribosomal RNA (501 nucleotides) under uncultured bacterium. RNAcentral describes it as "bacterial SSU rRNA". It matches the Rfam family "Bacterial small subunit ribosomal RNA", at positions 29 to 527 of the family's 1533-position model. The record is from RNAcentral.
AUUGAACGCUGGCGGCAUGCUUUGCACAUGCAAGUCGAACGGCAGCACGGGAGCUUGCUCCUGGUGGCGAGUGGCGAACGGGUGAGUAAUGCAUCGGAACGUACCCAGUAGUGGGGGAUAGCCCGGCGAAAGCCGGAUUAAUACCGCAUAUUUCCUGAGGGAGAAAGCGGGGGACCUUCGGGCCUCGCGCUACUGGAGCGGCUGAUGUCGGAUUAGCUAGUUGGUGAGGUAACGGCACCCCAAGACAGCGAUAGAUAGGGGCCCUGAGAGGGGGAUCCCCCACACUGGUACUGAGACACGGACCAGACUCCUACGGGAGGCAGCAGUGAGGAAUAUUGGACAAUGGGCGAGAGCCUGAUCCAGCCAUGCCGCGUGCAGGAAGACGGCCCUAUGGGUUGUAAACUGCUUUUGUACGGGAAGAAACACCCCCUCGUGAGGGGGCUUGACGGUACCGUAAGAAUAAGGAUCGGCUAACUCCGUGCCAGCAGCCGCGGUAAUGUG